CACAAGCCAGUCUCUGAGAAAGG
RNAcentral lists this non-coding RNA (23 nucleotides) under Cricetulus griseus (Chinese hamster). The record is from RNAcentral. Lineage: Eukaryota; Metazoa; Chordata; Mammalia; Rodentia; Cricetidae.